This 91-nucleotide transfer RNA is filed under the name Nocardioides flavus (ex Wang et al. 2016). RNAcentral's name for it is "tRNA-Ala". Lineage: Bacteria; Bacillati; Actinomycetota; Actinomycetes; Propionibacteriales; Nocardioidaceae. The record is from RNAcentral.
CCUCGCCCCGUACGCGCGGCUCGGUGCGUGCCCACUCGCGCUGGGCGGCCGCCGCGGCAGCGAGCGCCCGGUCGCCGUCGGCCGGCGUGGC